Oncorhynchus gorbuscha (pink salmon) is the source of this 1324-nucleotide long non-coding RNA. RefSeq lists it as uncharacterized. NCBI's taxonomy places the organism in Eukaryota, Metazoa, Chordata, Actinopteri, Salmoniformes, Salmonidae. The record is from RefSeq and is a predicted model, not a curated record. The transcript is spliced from 3 exons.
UCCUUUAAAAACCCUGUGUUUUGUGGCGUUCGGGGAGCGGAGAAUGUUCCUCUAUGGGGAUGGAUCGGGCUCCUGUGCAAGUUUAAAUGUACUUGUCUGUUUGGCGUGAUCGCACUGGACCAGUGUCUGCGGGAUGAGACAUCUUACUUGCGAAUUCGUUUGAGGAAGUGCGGUUGCGUUGACUACGACCUGGAGCUGUGGAGCUGAGUGGUGAUCCGAGAGUAGAGGACCAAGAGAGCAUUGGUACAAUGCACAACUAGGAGCUUUAGCUCCACCAAUGGCUGUGAUGAUCCUGUCUGCCUGUCUGCCUUUCGACACUAUCUUUUACUGCAGAUAAAAGCCAUGUCAACCUGAAGUGUGGGUGUCCGUGUGCCUUUCUUCUGAAGGGCUAUGUGAAGUUGGUUACAAAAUUGGAGCCGUGACCUGGGUCUACAAGAUCAUCCAUCACUGGGAAUACAGCAGUGCUCCAGAGAAGAGGACUACACCUGCUGUUAACUUCAAGAGACAGUCAAUUUGAAUAUCCACCAUGAAUAACAUAUCCACACCAAAAUAUCCAGGUACUCUGGUCAAGCCAAAUGGUGAUUCAGCACUUUUACAGGUGAGUGAUGUCACGAAACGACUCAAGGUUCAUAACAAAAAGGAGACAAGGAAUAACAAAAUAUAUUUAUUAACUAAAGUAAAUACAAUACAAUUAACAAUGGUGUGUGUGUAGUCAGUAAUAAGUAGUGUGAGUGGUUGCGUGCAUAAAUGUGAUAAUGAGGGGUGUUGAAAGGUGGCAACGCAAACAGCCACAAACCACAAUCAGUGUCUGCAUGGAGAGUACCCAAUGAAUGGGGAAGAGGUGCAUUUAUCCUGGGACACACCCGAGCCAAGGUGUCCCAUUUCGCUGACAACCCUCCCCGUUCUGCCCACCGACAUCCUAUUUAAAGGAAAAUCAGUAAAGAGAGAGAAUUCGUCGACCCCCCCCAUAAAACCAGGGACCAACAAGGACCUCGGAACACCAUACCAGUAACGCAAACAAAUUGACCCAGCCUCUGAGUCCCAAAUUGAUUAGGGGGUGUAAAGAAUUGCUAUUUUCUUAUGCAAGUGAUCAGCCUACUGCUAAAUACAUGGCUACAACUCACAGUAAAGCCUGUGGGGUCCCCUACAGGAAAGCUCCCACAUUACACACUGACUGCCAAACCAGCGCACACACAUAGUCUCCUUUAGCUGAACAUUGUGUGACGGCGGGAUUCUAGAGUGACGGACGGCCCAGCUGAGCCAAUGGCGGAAGACUACAGACUACACCCCAGCUGAACCAAUCCAAAGAUCCGAUCUCCCAGGA